Erigeron canadensis is the source of this 384-nucleotide long non-coding RNA. RefSeq lists it as uncharacterized. Lineage: Eukaryota; Viridiplantae; Streptophyta; Magnoliopsida; Asterales; Asteraceae. The transcript has 2 exons. The record is from RefSeq and is a predicted model, not a curated record.
UUGUAACAGGAUAUGAUAAUUUGCACUAAUAAUUUCCAGUUUUCCACGUACUUUUUAUUAAGUAAAUUAAUUAAGCAAACUAAAAUAUAUAUAUAGAAUAGACAUCCCACAAGCAUCCAGCUGUACAAUUUGCUCAUCUAUGCAAAAAGGGGGAAAUAUCAAAAAAGUAGGUUUUAUUAUAAAGAAGAAGAUUCUUUCUUCAAAAAUCAAAAAUCAAAAAUCAAUUCUCUCCCAACAAUUAAACCCACCCUUUCCAUACUUCCUUUUUCCCCUUCAUCUCCCUUUCCUGAUUAUCAUGGCGGAAGUUGGACAGCCACUGCCAAAAUUUGGUGAAUGGGAUGUGAAUGACCCUGCAUCAGCUGAGGGAUUUACAGUUAUUUUUAA